Molecule: non-coding RNA, 354 nt
Organism: Pseudomonas sp. HPB0071
Lineage: Bacteria; Pseudomonadati; Pseudomonadota; Gammaproteobacteria; Pseudomonadales; Pseudomonadaceae
Rfam family: transfer-messenger RNA
About the family: Bacterial tmRNA, also known as 10Sa RNA or SsrA, is named for its dual tRNA and mRNA-like properties. Its role is to liberate the mRNA from a stalled ribosome.
Source: Rfam
GGGGGCGAUUAGGAUUCGACGCCGGUAACAAAACUUGAGGAGCAUGCCGAGCUGGUAGCAGACCUCGUAAAUUAGCUGCUGCAAACUUAUAGUUGCCAACGACGACAACUACGCUCUAGCUGCUUAACGCGGCUAGCAGUCGCUAGGGGAUGCCUGUAAACCCGAAACGACUGUCAGACAGAACAGGAUCGCCGCCAAGUUCGCUGUAGACGUAACGGCUAAAACUUAUACAGAUCGCCCCAAGCGCCCUGCCCAUCGGGCCGCUAAGGGUUAACUCUAGUAGAUUGGGCUAAGCAUGUAGCGCCAAGAGCGGAGAGCUGGCGGACGGGGGUUCAAAUCCCCCCGCCUCCACCA